GCAUCAGUAAAGUCAGGAACAGGAGAGUCAGAUGGAGGGAAAUGAGAGGAGGAAGCAUGUAUAAGAAAAUCAGUGUCAAGGGAAUGUUCAGCAGGAGGAAUAGAAGGAAAAGAUGAAGGAGAAGGGUGAUCAAAAGAAGGAUUAUUCUUAAAAGGAAAACAAGUUUCAUGGAAUACAACAUCCCUGGAGACAAAACACUUCUUGGAAACCAAAUCAUACAGUUUAUAACCCUUUUUGGAAAAGGGGUAACCCAGAAAAACACAAGAGAAGGCUCUAGGCUUUAACUUGUCCCUUUGAUUGGAAACCAAAUGAUACAGUUUAUAACCCUUUUUGGAAAAGGGGUAACCCAGAAAAACACAAAAGAAGGCUCUAGGCUUUAACUUGUCCCUUUGAGGAAUAGGGACAGC
This 407-nucleotide long non-coding RNA is filed under the name Nicotiana benthamiana. Its description in RNAcentral is "long non-coding RNA (NBEN_LNC031908)". Lineage: Eukaryota; Viridiplantae; Streptophyta; Magnoliopsida; Solanales; Solanaceae. The record is from RNAcentral.